RNAcentral lists this ribosomal RNA (513 nucleotides) under uncultured bacterium. Its description in RNAcentral is "partial 16S ribosomal RNA". It matches the Rfam family "Bacterial small subunit ribosomal RNA", at positions 29 to 523 of the family's 1533-position model. The record is from RNAcentral.
AACGAACGCUGGCGGCGUGCCUAACACAUGCAAGUCGAGCGCGAAAAGGGCAACCUGAGUAGAGCGGCGCACGGGUGCGUAACACGUGGGUAAUCUGCCUUAGAGUCGAGGAUAACCUUCCGAAAGGUUGGCUAAUACUCGAUAAGCUUACGGUGUCUUUGGACGCUGUGGGAAAAGUAGGCCUCUGUUUACAAGCUUACGCUCUGAGAUGAGCCCGCGGCCCAUCAGCUAGUUGGCGGUGUAACGGACCACCAAGGCAACGACGGGUAGCUGGUCUGAGAGAACGAUCAGCCACACUGGAGCUGAGACACGGUCCAGACUCCUACGGGAGGCAGCAGUGGGGAAUUUUCCACAAUGGGCGAAAGCCUGAUGGAGCGACGCCGCGUGUGUGAUGAAGGUUUUCGGAUCGUAAAGCACUUACGACCGGGACGAAAAACCUCUGGCUAACAUCCAGGGGCCUGACGGUACCGGGAGAAGAAGCACCGGCUAACUCUGUGCCAGCCGCCGCCGUAA